Molecule: unclassified non-coding RNA, 644 nt
Filed under: Hevea brasiliensis (rubber tree)
Lineage: Eukaryota; Viridiplantae; Streptophyta; Magnoliopsida; Malpighiales; Euphorbiaceae
Source: RNAcentral
AAUUUGACAACAUGAAAAUUGACUCACCAAAGUCUAUUAACAAGAGUCUUUUGUCACAAUUUGAGGAGAAAACAGAGGAUUUUGAGGUUGAAAAAGAUGAGAUAAUUGAAGAAAAUGGUAAUAGCGGAUUGAACUUGUUGAACAAGAGUUUAAAUGGUAUUGGUGCUAUUUGUUCUUUUGGUGUUGCUGCUGCUGCUACUAUUUGCAUCAUAUUCAUUGGGAAUCACCAAAAACAUAAGCAGAAUCAGAAGAUUAGGUUCCAAAUCUUUACUGAUGACAAGAGGAUCAAGCGUGUAGUUCAACAUGCAACAAGAUUGAAUGAAGCAAUUUCAGCAGUGAGAGGAGUUCCAGUUACAAGAGCACAAAUUACUGUUGGAGGCUACUAUGAUGCUCUUUAAAUGUUCGGUCCACGGAUCGUAAACUUCUUUUUUUCAGAGAAGAAGCAACGACGGUAUCUAUCUGAAGAAUAAGUGUUGGUUAACUUUGUGCUAUCAGACUAUAGUACAUAAAUAUAGGAUUUUUAUUAUCAUGUUGUAGAUAUAUAAUUCCAAGAUUCUACAGAGCUUUUAGUGAAGUCUUCUAUUAUGAAAAAAAAAAUGGUGUAUGGUUAAGAUAAAUGCAAUAUUAUUCCAUGAGUUGUUAAA